This is a non-coding RNA of Meleagris gallopavo (turkey), 3285 nucleotides long. The record is from RefSeq and is a predicted model, not a curated record. Lineage: Eukaryota; Metazoa; Chordata; Aves; Galliformes; Phasianidae.
CUCCUCUGCAGCAGCUCAUGCCCCAACCUGCACUGAUGCCUGCAGUUAUCCAUCCCCAGGUGCAAGACUCUACGCCUCGUUGGGUUCCUCUCUGCCCAGACAGAAAACAAAGGAGUACAUGCAGCAUUUCUCUUAGAGAGAAGCUCUAUCUUGGAUGAAAAUCAGCCCCUUUGUACGUUAUUGAGACAUAAGAGGGAGUAGGAUGCUGCUGCUUCGAGGGAAUGGGCUGGUGCUGUUAGGUUCAUUCUUCUUCCUGAGGCAGUCAGUAGGUGCUGCUGCUGCUGCUUUCCAUUAAUUUCCUUUAAACAAGAGUUUAUUUCUCAUCUUGAUUCCCACCUUCUCAGGCAGCAAGUCAUUCCUUUUCUUGUCUUGUGGUGUCAGUAGUGUUGUUUUCAGGAUGCCUCCUGUAUGAAGCCUUCAGCCACACUUCAGGAUGUCGUUGCAUCCCAGGUUUGGUUACUUCUUGGUCCUGAUGCUCAGCUGGAGUUUUGGGCUGGCAGGUUUUUUCCCUCCUAUUUGUGUUUCAGCAGCCAUUUAAUAUUAGAAGGUCCACGUGCCACCCCCUGUGCCUUCUUACGUGCCCCCUCCCAAGCUCUUUGCUGCCAGCACCUUGUUCUUCAUACCCAGUGCCCUGUGGAUCCCGGGUUGCUUGAGAGAUGCUGUUUAUAGCCAGUAGAGAAAAGGAGGCUGACCUGGGCUGGAUGUCAGGCUGAGGAGCAGCGAGCCCUGUGCCUCUGUCUUGUCGUUGGCUGUAGAAAUGAAUUUGGUCACUGAGCUUUGUUGUAGCUACUUGUGCUGCAUGCAUCCCCUAGCAGCUUGAGUGCAGCAAUUCACGUAAAUCUCACUAUUAGAAUCUUCUGCGUCUCCGUUGUGGUUUUCCUUCUGACACAAAUGCUUAUUCUGACAAAAAAUAAUGGUCUGGAUGGAAAUACCGGAGGUGAAGUUCGCUGGCAGCUGCUACACAACUCAGGCAACGUUAUCCCCUUCCAGCAUUAAAGUCUGUGGAAGUUCCCUCACUUCAUAUCAGCUGAUUUCACAUCACUGAUCCUGACAGUGCUGCUUUCAUGCUUUAACAGUAUCUUACCACUCUUGAAAGUCUGUCGCUGGGAAAUAGUUAGCAAGAACCAGCACUUCUGGGAGCAGAGCUGGCUUCCAAAUUAAUUUCAUGGCAUUUGAAAGAGUUCAGUCAUCUGCCUGGCCCUCUUGUAAGUCACACACUAUGAAAUUCCACUGACAGCCAAACACAGGCACCUCAGGUAAGUCAAAGUUUGUAAUUCCUGCAAAGAAAAGCAGCAGCACCAAAAGAAAUUGAAGAGUUGUAAAGUGAUGGGAGAUGGGUGAGGAAAAAAGGGCUCCGUGGGCAGCAGCUGAACCCUCCUGUCUACAAUUUGUAUGGAGAUCACAAGAUUCCAGCUCUGCCCCAGUUUCACCUACCUCCACAAAUUGGGAAUGACUUCAUUUUGAAACCACAUCUGAGGAAAACAGAGUGUUGCUACUUGGGUCACCCCGUGGUUCUGCUCAUUGGUUUCAUGGUUGUGUGUCUGUUUUGUGUCAGGUUGGAGUCGAGUGAGUGGACGUCCUCCCUGAGCACCAGCAUCGAUAUGGCUCCAGGUCACGAGCAUUCCUUGCUGAUUGACUCCACGGAUAAUAACUUCAGCAAAACUCGGAAUAUCCCCGGACUGCGGCGCCUGUUACGCUCUCUCUUCCGCUCCCGGACCCACUUGCCCAUGCUGGUGGCCCUGUACCUGCUUGCCCUUCACGUCCUGCUCUUCCUGUGCUUCACAGGCCACCUCUGAGCAGGAGCAGCGGCCCUUCCUUGAGCCACAGCCCUCUGUGAUCCUGGGCCUGCACUCCCCAUCCGCAGGGCAGCUGAAACAGGCGCUUCACCCACCGCCUUCUUUGCGAGUCCCCCAUGGGCAGCACUGCCCAGUGGUUGAUGCGUGCCCUGGGUGCUCGUUGUUGGGAUGGGCGGCAGCCAGGGCUGUUGCCAGAGGUGUUUCCAGGACAUCUCUCACUUCGUUCUGUGGUUUUAAAUGAUUGAGCAGUACUUUUUCUGAGCUGGGCUCCUCCUGCUAACAGUCGCUGUAUCUGUUCCUGUACCCAGAGGGAGCACUGCUCAUUUUAUGGAGCAUUUUACCACGGUAGGAAUGAGUAAAUUCUUCCUGGAUUGCUGCAACGCUUCCAGAAAAUGCCAGAUCUUCAUUCACCCUCGUCCUGAGUCUGUUGAGCUGGGGGGGGGAAGCUCUGGAGCUGUGCACCAGGCAGGGAAGCUCCUUCCCUUCCUCACGUCUCCUGUUUGCUCCAUGGCUCAGUGCUGUUUGAGAUGCAUAUCCUAAGGAAACUGUGGACACUUGAAGGAAUGUGAAUUUCCCAUUUCCUGCUCAGUUACAUCUACGGUUGAAGUAGGGCCAAAAUCAGUACAUCUGGACCUGCUGAGCACUGCAUUUAAAGACAGCUGUAUGUCUGCUCUGACUGCCUUGUAAAAUAGCUUCAGAAAUGUAAUUAUUGAAUAUGAGGCAAGAGCUUUUUAUCUCUCACUUCAGUAACCUCUCAAAAGGAGAGCAGCUGUGCUCCCUCUUCCUGCUCUGCUGCGCCAGCUUAAAGCCAUGUGGGCUGUGUUGGAGGGUUCCAUCGCGUGGUUCCAUCACAGGGGCCAGAGUCAAAGGCAGAAGAUCCUGAACUGAAAGGGUUCCCCCGGCGCUGGGGAAGGGAGAGGAGUUCUGAGCCUUUGGUGUCCCUGCUUAUGGAGAAGUUGUGCGGCGCUGGCGCUGGGCCCUGGGCUGUUCUGACUCUGAGGCAAACCGUGUGGAUGGAUUUGGUCAUACGGGAUGCGUGGGAAGCUGUGCUUUUCUAUGGAACUCUGUCAUGGAGUUGGGACAGUCCUCUUCCAAAGGGAGAAUGUUGAGUGCAGGGCUGGUUGAGCAGAGCUUCCUGCUGUUGGCCAAGCUGCGAUGCGUUCAGGGUCCUUGCUGGGAGGGUCCUGGCUGCUUUGUGGCAUAGUGCUCAGCUUGCAUUUUUCCACGUGGGAAAGAGGGGUUCUGAUGCUGCUGGUAACCCAGCAGUCCCCAGCUGCUGCAAAGCCUCUUUGAAGGUGGAUUGAGUUCAGCACUGUACCUAGAACAAUGGGAUCUGUGGCGCUGCGGGCACUACAUCUCCCUUUGUGUGCUACCCUGACGAUCUCUGUGGACUUUCUCAGCUGCAUACACUUCUCUGACCAAAAACUUUGCCUAUAUCUUCCUGGGGCGCCUGCUCCUGUAUAUAAUAAAGAUUAUUUUUCAGAUGGAA